Molecule: ribosomal RNA, 478 nt
Filed under: uncultured bacterium
Lineage: Bacteria
Description: partial 16S ribosomal RNA
Rfam family: Bacterial small subunit ribosomal RNA
Source: RNAcentral
GACGAACGCUGGCGGCGUGCUUAACACAUGCAAGUCGAACGGUAAGGCCCUUCGGGGUACACGAGUGGCGAACGGGUGAGUAACACGUGGGUGAUCUGCCCUGCACUUCGGGAUAAGCCUGGGACACUGGGUCUAAUACCGGAUAGGACCACUGCCUGCAUGGGUGGUGGUGGAAAGCUUUUGCGGUGUGGGAUGGGCCCGCGGCCUUUCAGCUUGUUGGUGGGGUGAUGGCCAACCAAGGCGACGACGGGUAGCCGGCCUGAGAGGGUGACCGGCCACACUGGGACUGAGAUACGGCCCAGACUCCUACGGGAGGCAGCAGUGGGGAAUAUUGCACAAUGGGCGCAAGCCUGAUGCAGCGACGCCGCGUGAGGGAUGACGGCCUUCGGGUUGUAAACCUCUUUCAGCACCGACGAAGCGCAAGUGACGGUAGGUGCAGAAGAAGGACCGGCCAACUACGUGCCAGCCGCCGCCGUAA